Molecule: ribosomal RNA, 326 nt
Filed under: uncultured eukaryote
Lineage: Eukaryota
Description: partial 18S ribosomal RNA
Rfam family: Eukaryotic small subunit ribosomal RNA
Source: RNAcentral
CCCUUAGAUGUUCUGGGCCGCACGCGCGCUACACUGAUGCAUUCAACGAGCCUAGCCUUGACCGAGAGGUCCGGGUAAUCUUUGAAACUGCAUCGUGAUGGGGCUAGAUUAUUGCAAUUAUUAAUCUUCAACGAGGAAUGCCUAGUAAGCGUGAUUCAUCAAAUCGCGUUGAUUACGUCCCUGCCCUUUGUACACACCGCCCGUCGCUCCUACCGAUUGAGUGUGUUGGUGAGGAGUUUGGAUUGGCCUCGGAAGGUGGUUCGCCACCGUCCGUAGCUGAGAAGUUCUCCAAACCGCCCCACGUAGAGGAAGGAGAAGUCGUAACA